GAUGAACGCUGGCGGCGUGCCUAAUACAUGCAAGUCGAGCGAACGGACGAGAAGCUUGCUUCUCUGAUGUUAGCGGCGGACGGGUGAGUAACACGUGGAUAACCUACCUAUAAGACUGGGAUAACUUCGGGAAACCGGAGCUAAUACCGGAUAAUAUUUUGAACCGCAUGGUUCAAAAGUGAAAGACGGUCUUGCUGUCACUUAUAGAUGGAUCCGCGCUGCAUUAGCUAGUUGGUAAGGUAACGGCUUACCAAGGCAACGAUGCAUAGCCGACCUGAGAGGGUGAUCGGCCACACUGGAACUGAGACACGGUCCAGACUCCUACGGGAGGCAGCAGUAGGGAAUCUUCCGCAAUGGGCGAAAGCCUGACGGAGGAACGCCGCGUGAGUGAUGAAGGUCUUCGGAUCGUAAAACUCUGUUAUUAGGGAAGAACAUAUGUGUAAGUAACUGUGCACAUCUUGACGGUACGUAAUCAGAAAGCCACGGCUAACUACGUG
RNAcentral lists this ribosomal RNA (497 nucleotides) under uncultured bacterium. RNAcentral describes it as "partial 16S ribosomal RNA". It matches the Rfam family "Bacterial small subunit ribosomal RNA", at positions 28 to 507 of the family's 1533-position model. The record is from RNAcentral.